Molecule: long non-coding RNA, 224 nt
Filed under: Mytilus galloprovincialis (Mediterranean mussel)
Lineage: Eukaryota; Metazoa; Mollusca; Bivalvia; Mytilida; Mytilidae
Source: RNAcentral
GUUUCCUCAAAAUCUACAGGGGAAUACCAGACAAUGCAACCACCAUAAAAGGACAUAAUAAUUUUAGCAGUUUAGAUAUCAAAUUACAGUAAGAAAAUAUAAUCUGAUCAAUAGAUCACACACGAACAGUAUGUGUACCAAUAUAUGAAUAAGCUAACAAUUGUAACAAUUAUAAAUAUCCCCCAUGUACUUGUUGUGUUGACAGUGAUAUAUCUUAUGGAACC